ACCCGCAAGGGUGAGUAAAGUGGCGUACGGGUGAGUAACACGUGGGUGAUCUACCUUCUGGUGGGGAAUAACACUGGGAAACCGGUGCUAAUACCGCAUAAGCCCGAAAGGGGAAAGGAGCAAUUCGCCGGAAGAGGAGCCCGCGGCUGAUUAGCUAGUUGGUAGGGUAAUGGCCUACCAAGGCAAUGAUCGGUAGCCGGCCUGAGAGGGCACACGGCCACACUGGCACUGAAACACGGGCCAG
RNAcentral lists this ribosomal RNA (244 nucleotides) under uncultured bacterium. RNAcentral's name for it is "partial 16S ribosomal RNA". It matches the Rfam family "Bacterial small subunit ribosomal RNA", at positions 75 to 334 of the family's 1533-position model. The record is from RNAcentral.